This 497-nucleotide ribosomal RNA is filed under the name uncultured bacterium. RNAcentral describes it as "partial 16S ribosomal RNA". It matches the Rfam family "Bacterial small subunit ribosomal RNA", at positions 28 to 507 of the family's 1533-position model. The record is from RNAcentral.
GAUGAACGCUGGCGGCGUGCCUAAUACAUGCAAGUCGAGCGAGCAGACGAGGAGCUUGCUCCUCUGACGUUAGCGGCGGACGGGUGAGUAACACGUGGAUAACCUACCUAUAAGACUGGGAUAACCUCGGGAAACCGGAGCUAAUACCGGAUAAUAUAUUGAACCGCAUGGUUCAAUAGUGAAAGACGGUUUUGCUGUCACUUAUAGAUGGAUCCGCGCCGAAUUAGCUAGUGGGUAAGGUAACGGCUUACCAAGGCAACGAUUCGUAGCCGACCUGAGAGGGUGAUCGGCCACACUGUGACUGAGAGACGGCAAAUACUCGUAGGGUAGGCAGCAGUAGGGAAUCUUCCGCAAUGGGAGAAAGCCUGACGGAGCAAGACCGCGUGAGUGAUGAAGGUCUUCAGAUCGUAACACUGUGUUAUUAGGGAAGAACAAAUGUGUAAGUAACUAUGCACGUCUUGACGGUGCCUAAGCAGAAAGGCACGGCUAACUUCGUG